AUUGAACGCUGGCGGCAUGCCUUACACAUGCAAGUCGAACGGCAGCAGGGGAGAAGCUUGCUUUUCCUGCCGGCGAGUGGCGAACGGGUGAGUAAUACAUCGGAACGUGCCCUGUAGUGGGGGAUAACUAGUCGAAAGAUUAGCUAAUACCGCAUACGACCUGAGGGUGAAAGUGGGGGACCGCAAGGCCUCAUGCUAUAGGAGCGGCCGAUGUCUGAUUAGCUAGUUGGUGGGGUAAAGGCCUACCAAGGCGACGAUCAGUAGCUGGUCUGAGAGGACGAUCAGCCACACUGGGACUGAGACACGGCCCAGACUCCUACGGGAGGCAGCAGUGGGGAAUUUUGGACAAUGGGCGAAAGCCUGAUCCAGCAAUGCCGCAUGUGUGAAGAAGGCCUUCGGGUUGUAAAGCACUUUUGUCCGGAAAGAAAUGGCUCUGGUUAAUACCUGGGGUCGAUGACGGUACCGGAAGAAUAAGGACCGGCUAACUACGUGCCAGCAGCCGCCGUAA
RNAcentral lists this ribosomal RNA (508 nucleotides) under uncultured bacterium. Its description in RNAcentral is "partial 16S ribosomal RNA". It matches the Rfam family "Bacterial small subunit ribosomal RNA", at positions 30 to 523 of the family's 1533-position model. The record is from RNAcentral.